CCACAUCUUUCUUUCCUGUCCCAAACUCCUCCGUCCUAUAUACGACAUCCUUCCCUGUGAUAUUCCCCGCCCUAUAAAUGUUCAAUGUUUGAUAAUGUUGGUGUUUAGUCCCUAUUGUAGAUUUUUGUGUAAAUAUUUUGAAAUAAAUAAAAUUAAGCUGUAAAUAAAUCAUGUGUCUGUCCUAGUGUUAUGGUGUAACAAUGAAAGUCUGACUAUUUUGCCUGUUUUCAAAAUUAAAUAGAGACUGUUAUCUCUACUGCACCGACCAAUUAAUCUCCUUCGUGUGUUCUCCACUCUACGUGACAUUGGCGAAAUCUACCGUGCUAUUUUGGCACAACUGAAAGCCAUUAAACCAAUCAAUCAAUCAAUCAAAAA
This 375-nucleotide unclassified non-coding RNA is filed under the name Melitaea cinxia (Glanville fritillary). RNAcentral describes it as "misc RNA ENSMCXG00005016249.1". The record is from RNAcentral. Lineage: Eukaryota; Metazoa; Arthropoda; Insecta; Lepidoptera; Nymphalidae.